GUAUCUAGCUUAGUGGUAGAGCUUUUGCCUAGCAUGCACAAGGCCUUGGGUUCAUACCUAUCACUACA
RNAcentral lists this transfer RNA (68 nucleotides) under Marmota monax (woodchuck). RNAcentral's name for it is "tRNA.Ala". Lineage: Eukaryota; Metazoa; Chordata; Mammalia; Rodentia; Sciuridae. The record is from RNAcentral.